RNAcentral lists this ribosomal RNA (465 nucleotides) under uncultured bacterium. RNAcentral describes it as "bacterial SSU rRNA". It matches the Rfam family "Bacterial small subunit ribosomal RNA", at positions 8 to 525 of the family's 1533-position model. The record is from RNAcentral.
AGAGUUUGAUCAUGGCUCAGAAUUAACGCUUGCGGGAUGCCUUGCACAUGCAAGUCGAACGGAGUUUUUUAUCUCCGUGGCGUACGGGUGAGUAAUACGGGAGAACCGGCCCGUCACUUCCCUUUAAGCUAGAUGUAGGUCUAACAAAUACCGAAUAUUACCACAUUGUAUCGUUGUUGGAGGGGCUCACGGAUGAUUAGGUUGUUGGUAGGGUAAGGGCCUACCAAGCCGACGAUCCUUGCUGGUCUGAGAGGAUGAUCAGCCACACUGGGACUGAAAGAAGGCCCAGACUCUUUAUUGGGGGCAGCUGUGGGGAAUAUUGGACAAUGGGCGCAAGCCUGAUCCAGCAAUCCCGCGUGAGUGAUGAAGGCAAUUUUCUGUUGUAAAACUCUUUCAUCGGGGAAGAUAAUGACGUUACCCGAAGAAGAAGCCCCGGCUAACUACGUGCCAGCAGCCGCGGUAAUA